GAAUUUGUUAUUCCCGCGCCUCGUGGGUCUUGUGGUUGUUUCGAUAUCUGUGGUGGUUUCUGUCUGUGGUCCGAUUGUGGUGGGCCUCGUACGACGCGGGAAUGGACGGCGUUCCUUAACACUCUGUUGACAAACAUGAAGUCGGACUAUGGCAUCCUUGCUUACAAGAACGAGAUUGUUAAAUCAACAGCUUGGAUUACUUUCUUUUCAUUGUGGAUUUUGCUGAAUCAUAUAACAGAUAAAGACGUCAAGAUUUAAAUUGUAUAAUAAACUGAGAAUACA
Long non-coding RNA from Pieris rapae (cabbage white), 282 nucleotides. RefSeq lists it as uncharacterized. NCBI's taxonomy places the organism in Eukaryota, Metazoa, Arthropoda, Insecta, Lepidoptera, Pieridae. The transcript has 2 exons. The record is from RefSeq and is a predicted model, not a curated record.